AACACACUAAACUCGUGAUGUAGCCCAGGCUGCCCUCACACUCACAGUGAUCUUCCUGCCUCAGCCUCCUCAGGGCAGAAAUUACAGGCAUGUGCCACCUCGACUGGCCUAAAAAUUGAGACGGUGGACUCUUGGGGGAAGGGGCUGAAGGACGAGAAAGAGCAAGCUCUGGAGUGCUGGGAAGCUUCGCUUUCUUUACCCGAGUGCCCACACGGGCACUUGCUUUACACGGGCUAAGCCACACACAUCUGCACCUUGGCAGGCAGCGUGGCAAGUCCUCUGUAAAUGAACGAGUGACAAUGACAAGUAGCUCAGGGAGGGCCGUGGGCCAGCAAGUGGAAACAGAUCCUCAGGGAAGUUCUGGAGGCGCGCAAUUCCCCGGCACACAGCAAGGACAGACUCAGCACCCACCCAACAGCUCCCACCUGGGCAAGCGGGCGGGAAAUACUUUCAUUCAUCGAGGAAGUCGUGUUGCCUUGGAGACAAAAGCAGCCAUCAGAGCUCUCCCUGGGGAUUUGGGGUGUUUUCUAGAGAGCGAUUUUUUUAAUGGAAGAAACCAGGCAAGAGGGGGCUGUUAAACAUGGAGCCAGGAGGCUUCCAGAGCUGAGGAUGAGGCCAGCAGAGGCGGGAGGCUGCGUCCCUCCUGGAAGAGGCCCCCAGAGCACAGCCAAGCAUUUGGCCCGUUCCCGCGCCCAGCACCUCGUGGGGGCCGUGUGCGUCUGGGUUUCAAAGCCCCCAAGAGACCUGGCGUGCAGUGGGUUAGAAAAGCCAGGGUGUCCUUGAGCUAUUCGCACGCAGCCCUAGGAAGCCACGGGGGCUCCACGCCCCCAGGACUGGGCUUGAGCCCAGGGCCUUCACACUGAGUACAGCCCCAGCCCUUUCGCAUUUGAAACAAAACCUCACUGAGUCGCUCCAUUGCCCAGGCUGAGCUCCAAUUUUCAGUCCUGCUGCCUCAGCUUCCCGCAGUGCUGGGAUGACACAUGUGCACCACCACCCCCCAUUUUGUUUUGUUUUGUUUUGUUUUUUAAUCUUUUUAAAGUCCAGCCUUAGCGUACAUUUCUCACAACUCCCCGUGCGGCCCGUGGCGCUCGGCCAUAGCCCACAUUUUGAGGGCGAAGAGGUGAGAGGAGCCAAACACGCUCGGACCCCCGGACCCGGAGGACAAAGCCCUCCCCUGGCGUGAAGCAGGGAACAAGGGUGGAGCAGCCCGGCAGGGCCAGGCAGGCUCCCGGGGUCGCAGAGGGGGGCCAGGGCCCCACGCACACGCUGAGCCGGGGAAAUAUUUUCACAGCACGCCCACUGUCUCUCCUGCGGAUUAGCCCUCAGAUUCUUGUUCCCAGCACAAAUAUGCGAGGGGAAGGAAUGCGUGCAGCCAAGACCAGCCGGAAGCGGGCGGCUUCCCGGCUGCGCCCGGGCCCUGUUCCCAGGAGCACGGCGAGGCGCAGUGAGGCCGCCCGCCCGGAGGCGAAGCCGCGGGUCCGCCCUGAGCUCCCUUCUGCAUCUGCGGGCCGACCUGAAAGAUGCGCCGCUCCCCUGCCUGCUCAACGAUGCUGCCGCGAGCAGAGCCGAGCCUCGGCUCACAGGAAGUGGCGCGGCCACCGUCUCUCUGCACCGCGUCCUCCCACGGUGGGCGCUGAACAAAGGACGCGGCUGCAUUUCCUGUCCUCUCCCGCUGCGUCUCGGAAGCCCUGGGCGCCACCAGUGUGUACGGGAAGGCACAGCCUCCUGAGGCUAUUUCAGCGUCUCCCGACCGCGUGGUGGCCCGGCCUUCGAGGCUGUGCAAGAAUAUAAAGCAAGCAGAAUUCCCAGGCUGCUGCGGGUGUAUUGAUACACACACAUACACAUGACUGUGAGUGUGCACACGUAUGACUUGACCCACCAGAGUGGAAACUCCAUAGCACAGGAUGGAUUCCGUGUGCACUCAGAGAAGUGCUUACUCUCACGCAGGGCGCAGGGCUAGAUGUUCUAGCAGCAGGCCCCCUAAUAGCCAAAGCUGUCCAUAAUCUGAUGUUCAUCAAUAGUAAAGUGCAUAAUUUGUAA
Molecule: long non-coding RNA, 2040 nt
Organism: Chinchilla lanigera (long-tailed chinchilla)
Lineage: Eukaryota; Metazoa; Chordata; Mammalia; Rodentia; Chinchillidae
Exons: 2
Source: RefSeq, a predicted model, not a curated record